Molecule: ribosomal RNA, 658 nt
Filed under: Rhodobacteraceae bacterium SF5
Lineage: Bacteria; Pseudomonadati; Pseudomonadota; Alphaproteobacteria; Rhodobacterales; Paracoccaceae
Description: partial 16S ribosomal RNA
Rfam family: Bacterial small subunit ribosomal RNA
Source: RNAcentral
GCCCUAUGGGGGAAAGAUUUAUCGCCNAAGGAUGGGCCCGCGUUGGAUUAGCUAGUUGGAUGCNNUAAAGGCCUACCAAGGCGACGAUCCAUAGCUGGUCUGAGAGGAUGAUCAGCCACACUGGGACUGAGACACGGCCCAGACUCCUACGGGAGGCAGCAGUGGGNAAUAUUGGACGAUGGGCGCAAGCCUGAUCCAGCCAUGCCGCGUGAGUGAUGAAGGCCCUAGGGUUGUAAAGCUCUUUCNGCGAGGANGAUAAUGACGUUACUCGCAGAAGAAGCCNCGGNUNUUUUNUUGCCAGCAGCCGCGGUAAUACNAANGGNGCUAGCGUUGUUCGGAAUCACUGGGCGUAAAGCGCACGUANGCGGACUUUUAAGUCAGGGGUGAAAUCCCGGGGCUCAACCCCGGAACUGCCUUUGAUACUGGAAGUCUUGAGUCCGAGAGAGGUGAGUGGAACUCCGAGUGUANAGGUGAAAUUCGUAGAUAUUCGGAAGAACACCAGUGGCGAAGGCGGCUCACUGGCUCGGNACUGACGCUGAGGUGCGAAAGCGUGGGNAGCAAACAGGAUUAGAUACCCUGCUAGUCCACGCCGNAAACGAUGGAAGCUAGCCGUCAGGUAGCAUGCUAUUUGNUGNCGCAGCUAACGCAUUAANCUUCC